This 253-nucleotide unclassified non-coding RNA is filed under the name uncultured Phycisphaeraceae bacterium. RNAcentral's name for it is "contains 16S-23S intergenic spacer region". It matches the Rfam family "Bacterial small subunit ribosomal RNA", at positions 524 to 776 of the family's 1533-position model. The record is from RNAcentral. Lineage: Bacteria; Pseudomonadati; Planctomycetota; Phycisphaerae; Phycisphaerales; Phycisphaeraceae.
UACGAAGGGCCCGAGCGUUGCGCGGAAUCACUGGGCUUAAAGGGUGUGUAGGCGGAAACGUAAGUAUCUUGUGAAAGCCCACGGCUCAACCGUGGAAUUGCAGGGUAUACUGCGUUUCUUGAGGUCGGUAGGGGCUGUCGGAACUAUAGGUGUAGCGGUGAAAUGCGUAGAUAUCUAUAGGAACACCAAAGACGAAGGUAGGCAGCUGGGCCGAUUCUGACGCUGAGGCACGAAAGCGUGGGGAGCAAACAGG